CCUACGGGCGGCUGCAGUGAGGAAUAUUGGUCAAUGGACGAGAGUCUGAACCAGCCAAGUAGCGUGAAGGAUGACUGCCCUAUGGGUUGUAAACUUCUUUUAUAUGGGAAUAAAAUGUUCCACGUGUGGGAUUUUGUAUGUACCAUAUGAAUAAGGAUCGGCUAACUCCGUGCCAGCAGCCGCGGUAAUACGGAGGAUCCGAGCGUUAUCCGGAUUUAUUGGGUUUAAAGGGAGCGUAGGUGGAUUGUUAAGUCAGUUGUGAAAGUUUGCGGCUCAACCGUAAAAUUGCAGUUGAUACUGGCAGUCUUGAGUACAGUAGAGGUGGGCGGAAUGCGUGGUGUAGCGGUGAAAUGCUUAGAUAUCACGAAGAACUCCGAUUGCGAAGGCAGUUCACUGGACUGCAACUGACACUGAGGCUCGAAAGUGUGGGUAUCAAACAGGAUUAGAUACCCCAGUAGUC
Molecule: ribosomal RNA, 460 nt
Filed under: uncultured bacterium
Lineage: Bacteria
Description: partial 16S ribosomal RNA
Rfam family: Bacterial small subunit ribosomal RNA
Source: RNAcentral